This 72-nucleotide transfer RNA is filed under the name Heterocephalus glaber (naked mole-rat). It matches the Rfam family "tRNA". Rfam says of the family: Transfer RNA (tRNA) molecules are approximately 80 nucleotides in length. Their secondary structure includes four short double-helical elements and three loops (D, anti-codon, and T loops). The record is from Rfam by way of RNAcentral. Lineage: Eukaryota; Metazoa; Chordata; Mammalia; Rodentia; Bathyergidae.
UAGGGUGUAGCUCAGUGGUAGAGCUUUUGCCUAACAUACUUGAGGCUCUGGGUUUGAUUUCCAGCACCUCAA